UAUUGUUUAAUGUGAUGUACAAUAUAUAUUUAAAUUAAAAGGUAGGGUUACAAGCUACAUGAGUUAUGUAUUGUAGUGCUCAAGUUAGAAUUGACUCAUUACUUGAGUUUUUUGAGUUCAAGCUCAACUUAACUACUGUUGAAUUCAAGAGGUUUGCAAGUCAAGUUCAAUUAGCCCACAAGUAGCUUAGCUCAUUUACUCACCCUAACCAUGUUGUUAAUGAAGUUCAUGAUCUAAUAGUUUUAUGGGUCACGAUAUUGCUUCUUUUCAAUUCGUGCUCUUAACAUAACUUUAAAUACCACAUUAGCAAUAAAUGAUGUGAAUGUUUUAUGCUUGCAGAAUGAUGUAGUCAUUCCA
RNAcentral lists this unclassified non-coding RNA (357 nucleotides) under Hevea brasiliensis (rubber tree). Lineage: Eukaryota; Viridiplantae; Streptophyta; Magnoliopsida; Malpighiales; Euphorbiaceae. The record is from RNAcentral.